Molecule: long non-coding RNA, 3231 nt
Filed under: Homo sapiens (human)
Lineage: Eukaryota; Metazoa; Chordata; Mammalia; Primates; Hominidae
Description: HSALNT0076905
Source: RNAcentral
UCCGGAAGCCAAGUGGCGGCGGCUGGAAGGAGGCCGCGCGGCCGCUGGGGUGCGCUGUGUGCCAAGCCGACUUCUGGGGAGCGCGCUAGGUGACUGGGUGUGUUCUCAGAGUGCCCCAGGGAGGGAAGGUCGCGAUGUGGGAAGUUUUGCCCGAAAGUAAGAGAUGAUGAGACCCUGGGCCCUUUUCCUGGGGCCUGGGAGUGCAAUGACCUUCCCGCCUAGCUUUUCCCUAGCCCUACGCUUGGGUCUGGGAGGAGCGGGACCGACCUCCUUCAGAGCCCAGCCCGCUCAGUGACUUAAAGCGGUCCAGCCACGGACCACUGCGGGUGGAGAGAGCUGGGGCGUGUGCUAGCAAGAGAGAUUUGCAGGUGUAGGUGGGUAACUUGCAACAAAGCCAUACCCGUGCUUAAUGUUAAUGAUAACAGCAAUAAUUAUAACUUAAGUGCCUUUAACCAUUGCCUCAAACUUCCCUUAUGCAUAACUGGAAAAAGAUUUACUUGGAAAAGAAAAAGCAAACAAAUAAUUUCCAAUGCUUUGUGCAUGAAGUUAGAAAACAAGGGCACCUCUGUACAAUUAGGUUAAUCCGAGAGCACUGGCGCAACCCAGGUGCAGUCGAGGGCAACCAGUUAUCCCAAUUUUAAAUUAAUGCAUCAUUUUAAUUAAAUUGGAAUUAACACUCCCUCAAAAGUAUCCAUUAAAAAUGGCUCAGCCUUUUUGUCCAAUCCCUAUCUUGCUUCUUUAAAAAAGGAAUUGGUGUCAUCCUUUGCUUUGUCUGCAUCCCCAUCUUCCUGUCAUGCAUUGGCAGUUUUAAUAUGGCAUUUUGCAAUGACCUAUAUUUUUUGGUAGAAUUAAAUCUGGAAUUAUGGGUUGCACAAUGUGUGAAUGACACCAUUAGCAGUGAUAUAAAAAAAAAUGAGUUAGCUGAUAUACUUCUGACAACUUCCUUCUAAAUACUCUUGGCAAGAAUUUAAGGCAUUAUUCACUACAUAGAAACACAUCAUUAAAUUGAUAAUCUGAGAACUUUUAAAAGUAUCUUCUAGUCCCCCAAUGCAAUGGUUUAUCUUUCCUUCAUUGAGUAAUUGACCUUUUGCGACUUCAGUUUUUCUGAAACUUUACUGCUGUAUGCAGGUAGCCACAACCAAAGAAAAGCAAUCAAAGCAGUAGAGUAUGAACUAAUGGGUGAUAAAUUAUAUUGGAUUUAGAAAUGAGAAUUCUCUCCUAAUGUGUUACUAUGAUAGUGAUUAUAGUGCUCAUGGAAUACAGUCAUGCGUCACCGAACAACAGGAUACAUUCUGAGAAAUGUAUCCUUAGGCAAUUUCAUCCUUCUCUGAACAUCACAGUGUACUAACACAAAAUAGAUGGCUCAGCCUACUACACACUUAGGCUAUUGCUCCUAGACCACAAAUCUAUACAGCAUAUUACUGUACUGAAUACUGUAGGCAAUUGUAAUGCAAUGAUAUUUGUGUGUCUAAACAUAUCUAAACAUAGAAAAGGUACAGUAAAAAUAUAGUAUUAUCUUAUGGGACUCAUAUAUGUGGUCUGUCGUUGACUGAAAAGUGGCACAUUACUGUGGAAAGUUUCUCCUCAGUACAGUUUUUUCUUGUGGAAAUCCAUGCAUUCCUCCUAACAGGAGAUCAAUCGUAAUUUAAAACUCUGCUUAUCUACUAAAGAUGCAGUGAAUUUGGGGCUUGAAUUAUUUGCUUUUGUUGGAUACUUGAUUAAAUAAACACGUAUAAUCAUUUCAAUGUUUGUAUUCCCUCCAAAAUUCAUGUUGAAACUUAAUCCCUAAUUCAACAGUAUUAAGAGGAGGUGCCUUUAAGUGGUGAUUAGACCAUUAGGGCUCUGCCUUUGUGAAUGCAUUAGUGCCUUUUUAAAAAAAGGCCCAAAGGAGACAGUUGGCCCCUUCUAUUCUUUCCACUAUGUGAAGACACAGCACUGACCCUUGCUGAGGAUGCAGCAACAAGGUGCCAUUUUGUAAGCAAAGAGCAGCCCUCACCAGUUGCCAAAUCUGCUGGCACUUUGAUUUUGGAGUUUCCAGCCUCCAGAACUGAGAGAAAUUAAUUUCUAUUGUUUAUAAAUAUCCCAGUCUGUGAUAUUUUAUUACAGCAACACAAAUGGACUAAGACAGUGGGUAAUAUCAAAAUGUUCAUUUUUCUCUCCUAACCUGAAAGGGUUAAAUUAUCAGAAACCAGGAAGGUUUCUGAAAAAUUGCUUCAAGAAAAACAAUCUAUAGGCUGGGCACAGUGGCUCAUUCCUGUAAUCUCAGAACUUUGGGAGGGAGAGGUAGAAGGAUACUUGAGCUCAGGAGUUUGAACCAGCCUGGGCCACAUGGCAUGACCCCAUCUCUACACAAAAUUUUUAAAAAUUAGCCAGGCAUGGGGGAACACACCUGUAAUCCUAGUUAUUCGAGAGGCUGAGGCAAGAGGAUUGAGCCCAGGAGGUCAAGGCUGCAGUGAGCCAUGAUCGUGCCAUUGCACUUCAGCCUCAGUGACAGUGUAAGACCCCCGGCUCUAUAACAAAAAAGAAAAAAAAAGAAAAACAGUACAUAGAUUCUCUCAAUAGUGAAUCUCAAGUCUGUGUGGUAUAUAUGAUAGUUUGGGAGUUACUGUGAAGGCCUAUUACCUGAGAAACAUAUCACAAGGGAUUGGGGAACAGAAGUGUCUCAAACAGUUCUAGUCUCUGGGAGAUUCAGCCAAAAUGUGUAACUAUACCUCCUGUAAAUUUAAAGUAGUUAAAGGUAAGCAUAUUUUGAACUGACAUUACCUGGGCCUCUUGUUUUUCAACUCCAUUUUAUUCUUUAUCCCAAUUUGCCCAAUUAUUUUGUUUUAACUUGGCAUGAAUUGUUCUAAGCACCUCAAAUCUUGUUAUGGAAUUAGUUGAAGAAUAAGUAAAUCAUAAACACUCCCAGGAUAUAACUUGAAAAAUGCUGUUAAUGCUAUUUAUAACAAACAAAUGAGCAAUGAUGUAUGUAUGUGUAUAUGUAUGAUAUAUAUAUGUGUGUAUAUGUAUAUAUAUAUUUAAUUUUUGUAAAUGACCCAGUCUGUGGUAUUUUGUUAUUGCAACACAAGUGGACUAAGAUAUAUAUAUAUAUAUAUAUAAAAUCAAUGAUAUAUAUGUGUAUAUACAUACAUAUAUGUCAUUGCUCAUUUGUUGCUCAUGAGCAACAGCUUAACUAAAGACCUUCAAUGUAUUCCCACUGUGCUAAAAUAAAAUUCAAACUCUGUAACGUGG